This 253-nucleotide ribosomal RNA is filed under the name uncultured bacterium. RNAcentral's name for it is "partial 16S ribosomal RNA". It matches the Rfam family "Bacterial small subunit ribosomal RNA", at positions 524 to 776 of the family's 1533-position model. The record is from RNAcentral.
UACAGAGGGGGCAAGCGUUGUUCGGAAUUAUUGGGCGUAAAGGGCGCGUAGGCGGUGCCACAAGUCACUUGUGAAAUCCCCGGGCUUAACUCGGAGCCUGCAGGCGAAACUGUGGUGCUGGAGUAUGGGAGAGGUGCGUGGAAUUCCCGGUGUAGCGGUGAAAUGCGUAGAUAUCGGGGGGAACACCAGUGGCGAAGGCGACUUCCUGGCCUGUUCUUGACGCUGAGGCGCGAAAGCUAGGGUAGCAAACGGG